Long non-coding RNA from Asparagus officinalis (garden asparagus), 2025 nucleotides. RefSeq lists it as uncharacterized. The transcript has 4 exons. Lineage: Eukaryota; Viridiplantae; Streptophyta; Magnoliopsida; Asparagales; Asparagaceae. The record is from RefSeq and is a predicted model, not a curated record.
GCCGCCGCCGGUGAACUCGUUCGCCGAGAUCGACCUCGGCGGCGCGCUGAACGAGAACAUAAGGAGGUGCCGGUGAAUUUCUUCUACUUUUUUGAAAUACCAACCAGUUAUCUUUCAAUUUCCUGCAAUUUUCUGGAUUUAGGGUUUGAUGUCAAAUUGGUUUAGGGCUUAAUCUUAAAAAAACAUGAUAUCUUGAUAUUUCAAUGUCCCAUUGUCAAUUCUGGAGAUGGAUAAGUCCAAGAUCACUCUCCCAGUUCUUAAAAGACUGGGAUUUCACAGGUCAAUGCUUUAUCACGUUUUUUUAAGAUUAGAAGUUUCUUUCUUCAGAUUCCUGCAAAUUUUGUUGUUGUAGGGUUUAAGGUCAAAUUCGAUUUUUCUUUUGUUACUUUGUGCCAUUUUCUUUGUUGAAUGAACAAAAAGGAAAGAUGAAGUCUUGAUAACAUAAUUGUUAUAGUACUGUCUAAUGAUGCAUCCGUUGGUUAAUUUCCGAGGGGGUUUGAAUGAAGAUGAAGAUUAAAUCAUUUAAGUGAGUAAUCACUGAGUUAUUAGUCUUGUAGAAGGGUUAAGUGCUUUUUUUUAUUUAUCAUUAGAAGGACGCCAUGACCUUGAUGAUGUUUCUUGUGUCUGCUGAUUAAAUUGCUGCUUGGAAAAUGCUUACUUGCUACUUAGAAAAUGUUUGUGAUAUUUACAUGUCUGUAAUAAGCAUAUUGUUAUGGACAACUUUCAGAGGCUAUUACAUCCUUUAUAGCUCUUAGUUUGCAAUAUUUGCAUAUCUGUAUGCAUAUUGUUGUGAAUUUUAUUACUUAAGUCCCAUUGUGUGCAGGAAAAUUCUGUGUUGUGAUGCUUAGCGGCCUGCUUACUUCUUUCUUCUUUUUAGUUUUUCUUGAAGGCGUACUGAGUUUGUUGCUCUGGAAAUGUCUUGGGGAAUGUUGGGUAAGCAAAAUAUUCCAGUUUAUUCUGUUGUAUUUUGAGUAUGUUACACUAGUAUAUUGUUGAUGUAAUGAUAAUUGCUCCAUAAUAUGUAGUUCUCAGUGAUAUUUAGAAUUAGUUACUCAACCUUAUCCUGGACACUUUACAUGUUUAAGAAUCUACUGCUAUGUUCAGACAUCUUGCACUACCUCUUAGACCUAACAACUUCACCCAUCAUUGCUAUUUUCUCUUAUUAUAUCUAAGUCAUUGCAGGUAUUCCUUUCCUUAGCUUAUUUACAUUGGACACAAAUUCAAUCUUACUCUUAAUCCUUUUUACAUUAGUACUAACAUGUUGUUUAUCUUUCCUGAAUCAUAUGGCUCUAAAUGUCUCAACUCAAGAAGUUAGUAGUUGGUAUUUGUAUGGUACGGCCACCUUUUUAUUCUAAUUUCAUCCAAUCACCAUCUGUUCCUAUGCCUUUCCUAUGAUUUGAAUUUGAUCUAACCUCCUAUGCCUUUUCUAUGAUUUGAAUUUGAUCUAUGACUUGAACAAGAUUGGGAGAAUAUAAUACUGAAAUAUGGUCUCUGUGCAUGUAUUUGAUGUAUUGGCCUGAUUAAAUUGAGAAAUAUGAUUUAACCUUUAACCUGUAGUAACUUUCCUUAAAAUAAAUUUCUUUUUGAUGUUCUAAUAUUCACUUUAUCUGGCAUAAUAACAGGUCAGCUCUUGUCUAGAUUGAAAAAAUGUAGUAUGCCAAGAGGAAUCAUGAUUUGACUCUACCAGUAUUUUGGAUUCCGAUUCAGAUGAUGACUUUAUUAGCGUUCAUGGAGACAGCUUUUGGAUAAUUCUUUGGCAAUGACAUCAGCUUCUUGCCCUAUGAUCGAAUCUCUAGGCCUGGUUCAUCAGCCGACGUAUGAGGAUAUCUGCGGCGGGGGGACGAAGCAUUCUGAGGUUGUUAGGGUUAUCCGUGUACCGAGGGAGUGUAGGUACGAGUAAAUGUAUAGGGAAGGAGUUGAAGAAGCUUCUGCAGUGUCAUAGCCAUUGUAAAUGAUUUAUGUAAAAGUUUGUAAACAAUUUAUGUAUCUCUCUACUAUUUUGGUGAAUGUAUUAUUUGAAUAUAA